GGAACAUGUGGUUUAAUUCGAUGAUACGCGAGGAACCUUACCCGGGCUUGAAUUGCAGGUGCAUGGACCAGAGAUGGUCCUUUCCUUCGGGACUCCUGUGAAGGUGCUGCAUGGUUGUCGUCAGCUCGUGCCGUGAGGUGUCGGCUUAAGUGCCAUAACGAGCGCAACCCUUAUCCUCAGUAGCCAGCAGUAAGAUGGGCACUCUGUGGAGACUGCCAGGGAUAACCUGGAGGAAGGUGGGGAGUGACGUCAAAUCAUCAUGCCCCUUAUGAUUUGGGCUACACACGUGCUACAAUGGCGUAAACAAAGGGAAGCGAAAGGGUGACCUGGAGCAAAUCUCAGAAAUAACGUC
Molecule: ribosomal RNA, 352 nt
Filed under: uncultured bacterium
Lineage: Bacteria
Description: bacterial SSU rRNA
Rfam family: Bacterial small subunit ribosomal RNA
Source: RNAcentral